RNAcentral lists this ribosomal RNA (253 nucleotides) under uncultured bacterium. RNAcentral describes it as "partial 16S ribosomal RNA". It matches the Rfam family "Bacterial small subunit ribosomal RNA", at positions 524 to 776 of the family's 1533-position model. The record is from RNAcentral. RNAcentral also lists the same sequence under 1 other name.
UACGGAGGGUGCAAGCGUUAUCCGGAUUCACUGGGUUUAAAGGGUGCGUAGGCGGGUAUAUAAGUCAGUGGUGAAAGCUCCGGGCUUAACUUGGAAACUGCCAUUGAUACUGUAUAUCUUGAAUGUCGUUGAGGUUAGCGGAAUGUUGCAUGUAGCGGUGAAAUGCUUAGAUAUGUUACAGAACACCAAUUGUGAAGACAGCUAACUAAGCGAUGAUUGACGCUGAGGCACGAAAGCGUGGGGAGCAAACAGG